GCACAAGCGGUGGAUGAUGUGGUUUAAUUCGAUGCAACGCGAAAACCUUACCCACCUUUGACAUGUACGGAACCCUUUAGAGAUAGAGGGGUGCUCGAAAGAGAGCCGUAACACAGGUGCUGCAUGGCUGUCGUCAGCUCGUGUCGUGAGAUGUAGGGUUAAGUCCCGCAACGAGCGCAACCCUUGUCUUUAAUUGCCAUCAUUGAGUUGGGCACUUUAAAGAGACUGCCGGUGUUAAACCGGAGGAAGGUGGGGAUGACGUCAAGUCCUCAUGGCCUUUAUGCCCAGGGCUACACACGUGCUACAAUGGUUGGUACAACGAGUUGCGAGUCGGUGACGGCGAGCUAAUCUCUUAAAGCCAAUCUCAGUUCGGAUUGUAGGCUGCAACUCGCCUACAUGAAGUCGGAAUCGCUAGUAAUCGCGGAUCAGCACGCCGCGGUGAAUACGUUCCCGGGCCUU
RNAcentral lists this ribosomal RNA (459 nucleotides) under uncultured Desulfovibrionaceae bacterium. Its description in RNAcentral is "bacterial SSU rRNA". It matches the Rfam family "Bacterial small subunit ribosomal RNA", at positions 923 to 1382 of the family's 1533-position model. The record is from RNAcentral. Lineage: Bacteria; Pseudomonadati; Thermodesulfobacteriota; Desulfovibrionia; Desulfovibrionales; Desulfovibrionaceae.